GAUGAACGCUAGCGGCAGGCCUAACACAUGCAAGUCGAGGGGCAGCACAGAAACAGCAAUGUUUUGGUGGCGACCGGCGGACGGGUGCGUAACGCGUAUGCAACCUACCUUUAACAGGGGGAUAGCGGAGAGAAAUUUCCACUAAUACCCCAUAACAUCGAUCAAGGCAUCUUGAUUGGUUGAAAACUCCGGUGGUUAAAGAUGGGCAUGCGUUGUAUUAGGUAGUUGGUGAGGUAAUGGCUCACCAAGCCUACGAUACAUAGGGGGACUGAGAGGUUAGCCCCCCACACUGGUACUGAGACACGGACCAGACUCCUACGGGAGGCAGCAGUGAGGAGUAUUGGUCAAUGGGGGCAACCCUGAACCAGCCAUGCCGCGUGCAGGAAGACGGCUCUAUGAGUUGUAAACUGCUUUUAAACAGGGAUAAAGCACAGUAUGUAUACUGUGUUGAAGGUACUGUAAGAAUAAGGAUCGGCUAACUCCGUGCCAGCAGCCGCCGUAA
This 502-nucleotide ribosomal RNA is filed under the name uncultured bacterium. RNAcentral describes it as "partial 16S ribosomal RNA". It matches the Rfam family "Bacterial small subunit ribosomal RNA", at positions 28 to 523 of the family's 1533-position model. The record is from RNAcentral.